This 417-nucleotide ribosomal RNA is filed under the name uncultured bacterium. RNAcentral describes it as "bacterial SSU rRNA". It matches the Rfam family "Bacterial small subunit ribosomal RNA", at positions 29 to 447 of the family's 1533-position model. The record is from RNAcentral.
AUUGAACGCUGGCGGCAUGCCUUACACAUGCAAGUCGAGCGGCAGCGCGGGGGCAACCCUGGCGGCGAGCGGCGGACGGGUGAGUAAUGCAUCGGAACGUGUCCUCUUGUGGGGGAUAACCAGUCGAAAGACUGGCUAAUACCGCAUGAGCUCGUAAGAGGAAAGCAGGGGACCCGCAAGGGCCUUGCGCGAGAGGAGCGGCCGAUGCCCGAUUAGCAGUUGGCGGGGUAAAGCCCACCAAGGCGACGAUCGGUAGCUGGUCUGAGAGGACGACCAGCCACACUGGGACUGAGACACGGCCCAGACUCCUACGGGAGGCAGCAGUGGGGAAUUUUGCGCAAUGGGGGAAACCCUGACGCAGCAACGCCGCGUGGAAGAUGAAGGUCUUUGGAUUGUAAACUCCUUUCGAUCGGGACG